Molecule: ribosomal RNA, 497 nt
Filed under: uncultured bacterium
Lineage: Bacteria
Description: partial 16S ribosomal RNA
Rfam family: Bacterial small subunit ribosomal RNA
Source: RNAcentral
GAUGAACGCUGGCGGCGUGCCUAAUACAUGCAAGUCGAGCGAACAGACGAGGAGCUUGCUCCUCUGACGUUAGCGGCGGACGGGUGAGUAACACGUGGAUAACCUACCUAUAAGACUGGGAUAACUUCGGGAAACCGGAGCUAAUACCGGAUAAUAUAUUGAACCGCAUGGUUCAAUAGUGAAAGACGGUUUUGCUGUCACUUAUAGAUGGAUCCGCGCCGCAUUAGCUAGUUGGUAAGGUAACGGCUUACCAAGGCAACGAUGCGUAGCCGACCUGAGAGGGUGAUCGGCCACACUGGAACUGAGACACGGUCCAGACUCCUACGGGAGGAAGCAGUAGGGAAUCUUCCGCACUGGGCGAAAGCCUGACGGAGCAACGCCGCGUGAGUGAUGAAGGUCUUCGGAUCGUAAAACUCUGUUAUUAGGGAAGAACAAAUGUGUAAGUAACUAUGCACGUCUUGACGGUACCUAAUCAGAAAGCCACGGCUAACUACGUG